RNAcentral lists this ribosomal RNA (445 nucleotides) under uncultured bacterium. RNAcentral describes it as "bacterial SSU rRNA". It matches the Rfam family "Bacterial small subunit ribosomal RNA", at positions 28 to 455 of the family's 1533-position model. The record is from RNAcentral.
GAUGAACGCUGGCGGCGUGCUUAACACAUGCAAGUCGAACGAAGCGAUUUAGCGGAAGUUUUCGGAUGGAAGCUAGAUUGACUGAGUGGCGGACGGGUGAGUAACGCGUGGGUAACCUGCCUCGCACUGGGGGACAACAGUUAGAAAUGACUGCUAAUACCGCAUAAGCGCACAGGACCGCAUGGUCCGGUGUGAAAAACUCCGGUGGUGUGAGAUGGACCCGCGUUUGAUUAGCUAGUUGGUGGGGUAACGGCCUACCAAGGCGACGAUCAAUAGCCGACCUGAGAGGGUGACCGGCCACAUUGGGACUGAGACACGGCCCAAACUCCUACGGGAGGCAGCAGUGGGGAAUAUUGCACAAUGGGGGGAACCCUGAUGCAGCGACGCCGCGUGAGUGAAGAAGUAUUUCGGUAUGUAAAGCUCUAUCAGCAGGGAAGAAAAUGAC